Molecule: ribosomal RNA, 459 nt
Filed under: uncultured bacterium
Lineage: Bacteria
Description: partial 16S ribosomal RNA
Rfam family: Bacterial small subunit ribosomal RNA
Source: RNAcentral
CCUACGGGAGGCAGCAGUGAGGAAUAUUGGUCAAUGGGUGCGAGCCUGAACCAGCCAAGUCGCGUGAGGGAAGACGGUCCUAUGGAUCGUAAACCUCUUUUGUCGGGGAGCAAAAGCCGCCACGCGUGGCGUUCCGCGAGUACCCGAAGAACAAGCAUCGGCUAACUCCGUGCCAGCAGCCGCGGUAAUACGGAGGAUGCGAGCGUUAUCCGGAUUUAUUGGGUUUAAAGGGUGCGGAGGCGGAAUGUUAAGUCAGCGGUAAAAUUGAGGGGCUCAACCCCUGCCCGCCGUUGAAACUGGCAGUCUUGAGUGGGAGAGAAGUAUGCGGAAUGCGUGGUGUAGCGGUGAAAUGCAUAGAUAUCACGCAGAACUCCGAUUGCGAAGGCAGCAUGCCGGCUCUCAACUGACGCUGAGGCACGAAAGCGUGGGUAUCGAACAGGAUUAGAUACCCGAGUAGUC